UUAGUGGAUAUAGUAUAAAAAUCAGAUCUGAAAGAAGCACAUAACAUUCGGAAAGGUAUUCAGGUGAUAGUGCAGACUUUUUUGUUAUUCAUUCACGCCAUUAUUUGUAAACUGAUGCUUGCCUGCUUCACAAAAGAAGCUUACCUCAAUCUCCAUCAGUAAGCAUUCCAUCAUAUCAUCGGUUCCAGAUCAGACAACAGUAUAAACAGCAGGGUCAACCUCAUCGCAAAAACCAUAUCCCUACUACACUUUAUUAUACACAGCUCACAAACUGUGGAUCUGAAUUUUCAGUUUCCUUUGUGUUAAAAAAUUUACUUGAGGGGACUAGUGUUGGGCCCCAAAUUAUCCAUUCUUUCCUACACAAGAUAUCAGAGGAGGAAUACAUCAUGUUCCUGUGAAGAUCAUACAUAAGGCUCUUCUGCAGAUUGCCUAUUUCCAGAGAGCUAAUAUUGACAUAGAAGCAUAUCCAUGCACCACACUAUGUAACAUGUCUUCUUCAGUUUUAGCUUUGCUGACAUCAUCUUGUUAUGAAUUACUUUGCACCUCUAGUUAUGGAUUAUGAAUUAACAUCAAAAUAGGAUUGCCUUACAAUUAGGCAUGCGUGCUAAAUGAAGCCCAGGUGUU
RNAcentral lists this long non-coding RNA (624 nucleotides) under Sorghum bicolor (sorghum). RNAcentral describes it as "long non-coding RNA (SBIC_LNC015453)". Lineage: Eukaryota; Viridiplantae; Streptophyta; Magnoliopsida; Poales; Poaceae. The record is from RNAcentral.